UACGUAGGGUGCAAGCGUUGUCCGGAAUUAUUGGGCGUAAAGAGCUCGUAGGCGGUCUGUCGCGUCUGCUGUGAAAUCUCAGGGCUUAACCCUGAGCUUGCAGUGGGUACGGGCAGACUAGAGUGCGGUAGGGGAGACUGGAAUUCCUGGUGUAGCGGUGAAAUGCGCAGAUAUCAGGAGGAACACCGGUGGCGAAGGCGGGUCUCUGGGACGGUACUGACGCUGAGACGCGAAAGCGUGGGGAGCGAACAGG
Molecule: ribosomal RNA, 253 nt
Filed under: uncultured bacterium
Lineage: Bacteria
Description: partial 16S ribosomal RNA
Rfam family: Bacterial small subunit ribosomal RNA
Source: RNAcentral